CAUAUCCAAUAAGCGGAGGAAAAGAAACCAACAGGGAUUACCUCAGUAACGGCGAGUGAAGCGGUAACAGCUCAAAUUUGAAAUCUGGGUCUUUCAGGCUCCGAGUUGUAAUUUGUAGAAGAUGCUUCGAGCGUGGUCCUAGUCUAAGUUCCUUGGAACAGGACGUCACAGAGGGUGAGAAUCCCGUACGUGAUUAGGCGCCUAUGCUCAUGUGAAGCUCUUUCGACGAGUCGAGUUGUUUGGGAAUGCAGCUCAAAAUGGGUGGUAUAUUUCAUCUAAAGCUAAAUAUUGGCCAGAGACCGAUAGCGCACAAGUAGAGUGAUCGAAAGAUGAAAAGCACUUUGGAAAGAGAGUUAAACAGUACGUGAAAUUGUUGAAAGGGAAGCGCUUGCAACCAGACUUGCGCGUUGUCGAUCAUCUGAUGUUCUCAUCAGUGCACACGACCUCGCUCAGGCCAGCAUCAGUUCUGGUGGUUGGAUAAAGGCCUUGGGAAUGUAGCUUCUCUCGGGGAGUGUUAUAGCCCUCGGUGCAAUGCAGCCUACCGGGACCUGAGGACCGCGCUCGGCUA
Molecule: ribosomal RNA, 568 nt
Filed under: uncultured Helotiales
Lineage: Eukaryota; Fungi; Ascomycota; Leotiomycetes; Helotiales
Description: eukaryotic LSU rRNA
Rfam family: Eukaryotic large subunit ribosomal RNA
Source: RNAcentral